This 253-nucleotide non-coding RNA is filed under the name uncultured bacterium. RNAcentral's name for it is "partial 16S ribosomal RNA". It matches the Rfam family "Bacterial small subunit ribosomal RNA", at positions 524 to 776 of the family's 1533-position model. RNAcentral also lists the same sequence under 2 other names. The record is from RNAcentral.
UACAGAGGUCUCAAGCGUUGUUCGGAUUCAUUGGGCGUAAAGGGUGCGUAGGUGGCGAUGUAAGUCGGAUGUGAAAUCUCCAAGCUUAACUUGGAAACUGCAUUCGAUACUGCGUUGCUAGAGGACUGUAGAGGGCAUUGGAAUUCACGGUGUAGCAGUGAAAUGCGUAGAUAUCGUGAGGAAGACCAGUGGCGAAGGCGAAUGCCUGGGCAGUUCCUGACACUGAGGCACGAAGGCCAGGGGAGCAAACGGG